RNAcentral lists this ribosomal RNA (279 nucleotides) under uncultured Staphylococcus sp. RNAcentral's name for it is "partial 16S ribosomal RNA". It matches the Rfam family "Bacterial small subunit ribosomal RNA", at positions 83 to 355 of the family's 1533-position model. Lineage: Bacteria; Bacillati; Bacillota; Bacilli; Caryophanales; Staphylococcaceae. The record is from RNAcentral.
CCUUUGACGUUAGCGGCGGACGGGUGAGUAACACGUGGGUAACCUACCUAUAAGACUGGGAUAACUUCUGGAAACCGGAGCUAAUACCGGAUAAUAUUUCGAACCGCAUGGUUCGAUAGUGAAAGGUGGUUUUGCUAUCACUUAUAGAUGGACCCGCGCCGUAUUAGCUAGUUGGUAAGGUAACGGCUUACCAAGGCGACGAUACGUAGCCGACCUGAGAGGGUGAUCGGCCACACUGGAACUGAGACACGGUCCAGACUCCUACGGGAGGCAGCAGCC